This 66-nucleotide transfer RNA is filed under the name Mastinocerus sp. MAS01. RNAcentral describes it as "tRNA-Asn". Lineage: Eukaryota; Metazoa; Arthropoda; Insecta; Coleoptera; Phengodidae. The record is from RNAcentral.
UUAAUUGAAACCAAAGUAGAGGUAAAUCAUUGUUAAUGAUUAAAUUAGAAAUAAAUCUCAGUUAAA